GGAGGGGUGGCCGAGUGGUUGAAGGCGCACGCUUGGAAAGCGUGUGUUCUAUGCAAAUAGAACCCAGGGUUCGAAUCCCUGCCUCUCCG
RNAcentral lists this transfer RNA (89 nucleotides) under Candidatus Omnitrophota bacterium. RNAcentral describes it as "tRNA-Ser". It matches the Rfam family "tRNA". Rfam says of the family: Transfer RNA (tRNA) molecules are approximately 80 nucleotides in length. Their secondary structure includes four short double-helical elements and three loops (D, anti-codon, and T loops). Lineage: Bacteria; Pseudomonadati; Candidatus Omnitrophota. The record is from RNAcentral.